CUAUCACCUUCCUGGCUAAUCUUUAUUACCCUCCAUGCCCUGCAUCUUGGGCUCCACUGAGAGCUUUGCUGGGAGUAUGCAUGCAAGCAUCUUUCUCUCAUAAACUGUACUGCCUUUUGGAUGCCUGAGUUCACACUAUUUCCAUAACUGCCCAUCCCUGAAAUAGAUGAACACUGGCCUUCUCCCUAGUUUAAAACUUGGGUUAUUAGACUCCUUGGGUCUAUCUUAGCUUCUCUCCCUGUUUCAGUUUGGAUUUUCUACCUCCAUUUGGCUUCUCUAUCUCUAGCAUCAUACCUCCCUGAUGAUCCGUGGUAGUGGCGGUAAUCCAUUUAUGAAAAACAAGACAACAUAGAUUCAAGGAGUCAAAUACACACAUACACACACACACGCACGCACACAUGCAUGCACACAAGCAACGAAGAUGGAAUAGCAGAGAGUACACCAGACAAGAAGCCGUAAGUGUCGGUUCUAGUUCCAAUUCCUCUCCACUGCAGCAUCUCAGAUGUAAACUGGCGUCAGUAACAGGUCCUGUCAUUCACCUCCCAGGAAAACUGUCAAAGAUAAUAGUUAUGGCCAGGCGUGGUGGCUCACGCCUGUAAUCCCACCACUUUUGGGAGGCCGAGGCAGGCGGAUCACCCGAGAUCGGGGAGUUUGAGACCAGUCUGACCAACAUGGAGAAAUCUCGUCUCUACUAAAAA
This is a long non-coding RNA of Nomascus leucogenys (northern white-cheeked gibbon), 698 nucleotides long. RefSeq lists it as uncharacterized. NCBI's taxonomy places the organism in Eukaryota, Metazoa, Chordata, Mammalia, Primates, Hylobatidae. The transcript is spliced from 2 exons. The record is from RefSeq and is a predicted model, not a curated record.